CUUAUUUGAAAUUAGAAAUAAGGUAUAAGAUCAAGCUCUAAGACUACACUUGGCACUCACUAUAGAUAAUUGCACCCUAUAUUUCUUCCAUCUGUGUGGUUUUAUAGGGAACUUCAUGAUCCCAGGAUGAGAUGAUCAUGUUUAACCCUGCUGUCUUUAUUUCUGAGCUACUGCUUUGGUGAUUCUGCUGCUGCCAGAGGAAAGGGCAGGGCCCUACAGAAGCAGCCGGCAUCUGGCCAGGUGGAGUCCUGUAGUACCAGACCGUGGCCUGGCAAAAGCAUGUCUGAGCCCUAGUCUUGCAAUGCCAAGAUUUCACAUGACCCCAGAUGUCCCCCAAAUCAAGAACAGCUUCUCUUAUUGUGUAUUACUAUUACAAAACCUUUAAUAUGUAUUCAACAACAGCCUAAAACAGCAACAGAGUUUUGUGGAAAAGCCAAAACAGUCUGAUUCAGAAGUCUUCAUUUCUUAUUUAAACUGAGGUUCCCUGGCAUUCUGAAAUCACUGGCCAGUUUUUUUCUUUUCUAUCUCAAGUACAAUACUAAUUCUAUUUAAACGCAAGAUAUCUACAAACAUUAUGUUAAAGAAUUCUUCUCAUUGAAUGACUCUAGUAGAGAGAAGCAGAAGAUAUUUAAAAGAAGGAUCAGGAUUUUUUCAAUGCCUUUGCUUGAACCCUCAACUCCUGGCCUUGACCCCGUCUCAUCCUAAACUUCAGCAGAACAAAAGAUAAAAGUUCUACAUAUAGAUGAAGUACUUAUGGUAAGUAGUGUUAAUUCACUUAUUUUCACUAACAUUGUGCUGGAUGUUAGGAUGAAUAGGGUGUUAAGACGAAUAAGAUAGCAUUCCUGAUUGUAACUAACCGAUGAAUUAAUGGGAGAGAGAGACAAUAAUUGAC
This 892-nucleotide long non-coding RNA is filed under the name Sus scrofa (pig). RNAcentral's name for it is "lncRNA (ENSSSCG00030052987.1)". The record is from RNAcentral. Lineage: Eukaryota; Metazoa; Chordata; Mammalia; Artiodactyla; Suidae.